UCAAACUUGGUCAUUUAGAGGAAGUAAAAGUCGUAACAAGGUUUCCGUAGGUGAACCUGCGGAAGGAUCAUUAAAGAAAAAUCGGCUCCGGCCAUUUUCCAACCCUUGCGUAUUUGUCCCUGUUGCUUCGGCGCUGCGGCGUCGGCGCCCCUAAACUCAGAAAAAAAAACAUUUGUGUCUGACAAAGAUUUUAAUUAUCAAAACUUUCAACAACGGAUCUCUUGGUUCCCGCAUCGAUGAAGAACGCAGC
RNAcentral lists this unclassified non-coding RNA (250 nucleotides) under uncultured fungus. Its description in RNAcentral is "partial contains small subunit ribosomal RNA, internal transcribed spacer 1, and 5.8S ribosomal RNA". The stretch from base 1 to 73 matches the Rfam family "Eukaryotic small subunit ribosomal RNA", at positions 1759 to 1831 of the family's 1831-position model. The record is from RNAcentral. Lineage: Eukaryota; Fungi.